AGAGCUUGCUUUCCAUGAGAGUGGCGCACGGGUGCGUAACACGUAUGUAACCUACCCUUAUCAGGGGGAUAGCCUCUCGAAAGAGAGAUUAAGCCCGCAUAACAUCACGAUAUAGCAUUAUAAUGUGAUCAAAUAUUUAUAGGAUAAGGAUGGGCAUGCGGAACAUUAGCUAGUUGGUAAGGUAAUGGCUUACCAAGGCUACGAUGUUUAGGGGAUCUGAGAGGAUGACCCCCCACACUGGUACUGAGACACGGACCAGACUCCUACGGGAGGCAGCAGUAAGGAAUAUUGGUCAAUGGGCGGAAGCCUGAACCAGCCAUGCCGCGUGCAGGAAGACGGCCCUACGGGUUGUAAACUGCUUUUGCAGGGGAAUAAAUCCUUCUAUGUAUAGAAGGUUGAAUGUACUCUGAGAAUAAGGAUCGGCUAACUCCGUGCCAGCAGCCGCGGUAAUACGGAGGAUCCGAGCGUUAUCCGGAUUUAUUGGGUUUAAAGGGUGCGUAGGCGGCCUAUUAAGUCAGGGGUGAAAGACGGUAGCUUAACUAUCGCAGUGCCUUUGAUACUGAUGGGCUUGAAUGUACUAGAGGUAGGCGGAAUGUGACAAGUAGUGGUGAAAUGCAUAGAUAUGUCACAGAACACCAAUUGCGAAGGCAGCUUACUAUGGUAUGAUUGACGCUGAGGCACGAAAGCGUGGGGAUCAAACAGGAUUAGAUACCCUGGUAGUCCACGCCCUAAACGAUGAAUACUCGAUGUUAGCGAUAUACAGUUAGCGUCAAAGCGAAAGCGUUAAGUAUUCCACCUGGGGAGUACGCCCGCAAGGGUGAAACUCAAAGGAGUUGAC
Molecule: ribosomal RNA, 838 nt
Filed under: uncultured Sphingobacteriia bacterium
Lineage: Bacteria; Pseudomonadati; Bacteroidota; Sphingobacteriia
Description: bacterial SSU rRNA
Rfam family: Bacterial small subunit ribosomal RNA
Source: RNAcentral